RNAcentral lists this long non-coding RNA (1274 nucleotides) under Calidris pygmaea (Spoon-billed sandpiper). Its description in RNAcentral is "lncRNA (ENSCPGG00000010207.1)". Lineage: Eukaryota; Metazoa; Chordata; Aves; Charadriiformes; Scolopacidae. The record is from RNAcentral.
GCUCCACCAUUGCUUGCAUUUCAGCAAGGUGACAAUGAAACGUGUGAUAAGGAAAGACAGGAGUAAUACUUGGUAUCAAUGUAACCUGUGUACAGUCGUUGUCUCUUUGGCUAAGAUUCACAAGGUUGUCUGGAAGAGGCUGCUGAUAAGCCACGUACACAGUAGCCAAAGAAGUCUCAUCUCCAUAAAAUCCCUUUAAAUGAAGGAUUGCAGAAUUGCAAUGGCAAACAUUCACCUGAGACCACUCUAAGUGUGGAAAAGCGGUUUUUCAUGUCAUUUCAGAAGAGAGGCUAAUCUAGUGUUGAAAAAUUAGGACACAAUUUAAAAUUGAAAGAAAUGUUCUGAUUUCAGGCAGGAUAGUUGGGCUCUAAACCAGAUACAUCUAUGACAGUAAUUUCAAAGACUGUAGGGAAAAGUUGGUUGCAUUUAGCUUUCUACCGCCCUCACCACAUGAGGGAAGAGGAAGUUAAGUUACGAAUCUGACAUGCUUUCAUUUGUUGUUUUGCUGAUCUUCAAUAGAGACACCGUGAUGCAAGUGCUAAUAAUCCUGCGUGAUGAUCAUAAUUUCACUGAAACUUCUUUUAACAAUGUGUUUUGGCGCCUUAGCUACAAAUCCCAAUAAUAUAAUGGUCACCCAAACACCAACAAAAAUACAUCUAUCAAUUGGAGACUACACUGAAAUCGCCUGUACUUGGGAAAAAAAAUCUGUUCAGAGGUAUAGAGUAAGCUGGCAUCUUGUUAAUAGAGAGAACAUCACCAAAACUAUAUCAUCAGAACUUUGCUAUGUAUCCAAUAUCACCUGUGAAAGCAAGGAUGUGCUAGUGAUAAAAUCUGCCAAUGUAAAUGACACUGGAUUUUACUACUGUGAGAUAAUUAUUGAAAUACCUUUCUGUAAGAAAGUGUGUGGAAAUGGGACAACAGUGACUGUUGAAGAGAAAGAAGCUCACUCAUUGAAAAAGAGAGAUUUGGCAAUAAGCGCCAUCGUUCUUUUCUUAGUGGCAGUGGGAAGCUUGUGUCUUUGCUACAAAAAGAAACAGCACUCUAAACUUUCUGGUUCUGCACAGCUUCCUGUGCCGGCGGGAAGGCAUCAGGAGGAGCAGAUGCUCGAAAUUGCAGAACUUCAUGGGAUAAAUGAAUCCACCAAUGAAGCAGCUGAGGAAAACUCAUCGUGUAAUUCUGCUGAAUGGGUAAGUGGUUUAUAAAAAGACUCUAUGAGAGAAGGAAUUUCAAAAUGAGAUACUGGGGAGCGCACGGAACAGAAAUGACACAACAAG